ACUCCUACGGGAGGCAGCAGUAGGGAAUUUUCCGCAAUGGACGAAAGUCUGACGGAGCAAUGCCGCGUGAGUGAUGAAGGUUUUCGAAUCGUAAAGCUCUGUUGUAAGGGAAGAAUAGCAAGAAUAGGAAAUGAUUCUUGUCUGACGUUACCUACAGAAGAAGCACCGGCUAACUCCGUGCCAGCAGCCGCGGUAAUACGGAGGGUGCGAGCGUUAAUCGGAAUUACUGGGCGUAAAGCGCAUGCAGGCGGCCUGUUAAGUCAGAUGUGAAAGCCCGGGGCUUAACCUCGGAAUUGCAUUUGAAACUGGCAGGCUAGAGUCUUGUAGAGGGGGGUGAGAAUUAUCAGGUGUAGCGGUGAAAUGCGUAGAGAUCUGAAGGAAUACCAGUGGCGAAGGCGGCCCCCUCGGAGC
This 411-nucleotide ribosomal RNA is filed under the name uncultured bacterium. Its description in RNAcentral is "bacterial SSU rRNA". It matches the Rfam family "Bacterial small subunit ribosomal RNA", at positions 335 to 736 of the family's 1533-position model. The record is from RNAcentral.